AGUGAACGCUGGCGGUAGACCUAACACAUGCAAGUCGAACGGCAGCACAUUAAGAGCUUGCUCUUACGGGUGGCGAGUGGCGGACGGGUGAGGCAUACAUCGUAAUCUACUUUUUCGUGGGGGAUAACUUAGGGAAACUUACGCUACUACCUCAUACCACCUACCGUUGAAAGCAGGUGAUCUUCGUACCUUGCCCUCUUUCAUGAGCCGAUGUCGGAUUUGCUAGUUGGGGGGGUAAAGGCCCACCAAGCCGACGAUCCGUAGCUGGUCUGAGUGGAGGAUCAGCCAAACUGGAACGGAGAAACGGUCAAGACUCCUACGGGAGGCAGAAGUGGGGAAUAUUGGACAAUGGGCGCAAGCCUGAUCAAGACAGACCGCGUGGGGGAAGAAGGCCUUCGGGUUGUAAAGCCCUUUUGUUGGGAAAGAAAAGCAGCAGGUUAAUAACCCGAUGUUGUGACGGUACCCAAAGAAUAAGCACCGGCUAACUUCGUG
This 492-nucleotide ribosomal RNA is filed under the name uncultured bacterium. Its description in RNAcentral is "partial 16S ribosomal RNA". It matches the Rfam family "Bacterial small subunit ribosomal RNA", at positions 29 to 507 of the family's 1533-position model. The record is from RNAcentral.